Molecule: non-coding RNA, 498 nt
Organism: Salvelinus sp. IW2-2015
Lineage: Eukaryota; Metazoa; Chordata; Actinopteri; Salmoniformes; Salmonidae
Source: RefSeq, a predicted model, not a curated record
GUGUGGCUUACUUCACCAACUGCCACAUUUAACAUGGAUAAUGCAGAGUUCCGUGGAAUGGGCGAAAGAUUGAAGGAUCUAUUUGAGAGAGAGUUCAAGAGUACAUUCAGCAUCCAACGUCAGCAUCCAACUGCAUCCAACUGCCAGUAGAGCCUUCAUCAAGUCUGUACUGUUAUCUCACUAUGAGACAACAGGGAAUAUUCACCAUGCCCUUGUCUUUGUAUACAGCCUUCAUACAGACUUGCAUGUACAUUAUUAUCCAUCUAGUCCUUUCAUGAAUUUCUUUCAUUCGUUCUAGCAGUCAAAAUGGGUGUGUGAUAAUAAUUGAAAUAGAAUGAUGGUGAUAACAUUGCAUUUCACACAGUAAAUGUUGCUUUGCUAACUUCUCAUGCAAGAGCCUUAGAAUUCCUCACCUUCCAGGUUUUUACUUCUGGUUAGGCCUCACUAGAUUCAUGUCCAGGGAUUCUGUCGACAAUAAACUGAUGAAUUUCUAAAACA